Molecule: ribosomal RNA, 254 nt
Filed under: uncultured bacterium
Lineage: Bacteria
Description: partial 16S ribosomal RNA
Rfam family: Bacterial small subunit ribosomal RNA
Source: RNAcentral
UACGGGGGGAGCAAGCGUUGUUCGGAUUUACUGGGCGUAAAGGGCGCGUAGGCGGUCGUGACAAGUCACUUGUGAAAUCUCCGGGCUUAACUCGGAACGGUCAAGUGAUACUGUCGGACUAGAGUACAGAAGGGGCAACUGGAAUUCUCGGUGUAGCGGUGAAAUGCGUAGAUAUCGAGAGGAACACCUGCGGCGAAGGCGGGUUGCUGGGCUGAUACUGACGCUGAGGUGCGAAAGCGUGGGGAGCAAACAGG